RNAcentral lists this long non-coding RNA (1065 nucleotides) under Amphimedon queenslandica. RNAcentral describes it as "uncharacterized LOC109583669, transcript variant X3". The record is from RNAcentral. Lineage: Eukaryota; Metazoa; Porifera; Demospongiae; Haplosclerida; Niphatidae.
CCAGCCUGGCUCGCGAGACUAGGGAAGUAUGGAGUAGGCGAUAGUAGGGCAUCGCUAGUCUCGCUAGCUAGACCAUUCCCCAGCCCAGGGCAUCACAGUUCGAUCACUUUAGCAGCCAUACCACUUCUCUGGACCAAAAUGCCGAAUUUUUGUUGACUGUUACAACAGUACUGUAAGCCUACAUUUCACUUGAUCCAUCAGAGUUUUCACUGAACUGAAUAAUUCACGUUAAAAAUUUUGUGUUGUUCACUGAUUGAAUUUCUCACAGCUAAGAGUUUUAAUUUUGACCAUUUAUGGAAGGAUCAAUGUGGAACACCUGUUUUGCACCAGAGGCUACAAUUCCUCGUACAUAAAUUUUUGACAGUUCUUUUUAUUAAUGGACCGACUCAUAAAUUUUCUUUGUAUAUAGGUACACUGCAUUAUAACUGAUGGAAUUGUGUACAGCUAAUGUACAUGUGUAACAUUUCAUUAUAAAUUUGGUUUACUUCUUAGAGCCAAUUCAGAGUACACAUUAAAAGUGCCAUCCAAGUUUGACACUGUGAGUAGUACAAAUGUUCUGCCUACGAUCAGACUUCCGAUGUCCAAGUGAACAUUUCUUAUCUUAUGUAGAGGCAAUUAAAUAUAAUUAAUGCCACAAGCAAAACAAGUAGGAGUGUGCUGAUGAUGAAGAAAAAAGGAAGAAAGUGGGAGAAACGCUUUAUGAAUAAAGAAUGAAGUAAUGAUCAGCUAUCAAAUACCAUGGUGACACCACUUAAAGUGAACUAAUCAAUAUUAUUUCAUCUGCCUCAUUAUUUCAACGGUCUAGUCAGGCCUAGGCCAACUCUAUAUGUUCAUAGUCAGGCUACUACUCUGCAUACUACUCUACUGAUCAGAAACUUGAUUAAUGAACUCUCUACCAAACUCUCCCAGAGUUUUAACAGUGAACUGAUUUCGUAUUGAACAAGCUUAGUACUUACUUUUUUUAUUUUUGGUUUUAUAAAUAGUUUACAUGUUUACUAUAACUGAUACAGAUAUGUCCUUAUAAUGUGAAUUAUUCUUUCAUUUAUAGUGAUCACUUGUAAUGCA